GUGGGGAAUAUUGGACAAUGGGCGAAAGCCUGACCCAGCAACGCCGCGUGAAGGAAGAAGGUCUUCGGAUCGUAAACUUCUAUCCUUGGUGAAGAUAAUGACGGUAGCCGAGAAGGAAGCCCCGGCUAACUACGUGCCAGCAGCCGCGGUAAUACGUAGGGGGCAAGCGUUGUCCGGAAUGAUUGGGCGUAAAGGGCGCGUAGGCGGCCUGGUAAGUCUGGAGUGAAAGUCCUGCUUUUAAGGUGGGAAUUGCUUUGGAUACUGUCGGGCUUGAGUGCAGGAGAGGUAAGUGGAAUUCCCGGUGUAGCGGUGAAAUGCGUAGAGAUCGGGAGGAACACCAGUGGCGAAGGCGACUUACUGGACUGUAACUGACGCUGAGGCGCGAAAGUGUGGGGAGCAAACAGGAUUAGAAACCCGGGUAGUCC
RNAcentral lists this ribosomal RNA (425 nucleotides) under uncultured bacterium. Its description in RNAcentral is "partial 16S ribosomal RNA". It matches the Rfam family "Bacterial small subunit ribosomal RNA", at positions 354 to 796 of the family's 1533-position model. The record is from RNAcentral.